Molecule: ribosomal RNA, 1318 nt
Filed under: Escherichia coli
Lineage: Bacteria; Pseudomonadati; Pseudomonadota; Gammaproteobacteria; Enterobacterales; Enterobacteriaceae
Description: partial 23S ribosomal RNA
Rfam family: Bacterial large subunit ribosomal RNA
Source: RNAcentral
GGGACACGUGGUAUCCUGUCUGAAUAUGGGGGGACCAUCCUCCAAGGCUAAAUACUCCUGACUGACCGAUAGUGAACCAGUACCGUGAGGGAAAGGCGAAAAGAACCCCGGCGAGGGGAGUGAAAAAGAACCUGAAACCGUGUACGUACAAGCAGUGGGAGCCUCUUAAUGGGGUGACUGCGUACCUUUUGUAUAAUGGGUCAGCGACUUAUAUUCUGUAGCAAGGUUAACCGAAUAGGGGAGCCGAAGGGAAACCGAGUCUUAACUGGGCGUUAAGUUGCAGGGUAUAGACCCGAAACCCGGUGAUCUAGCCAUGGGCAGGUUGAAGGUUGGGUAACACUAACUGGAGGACCGAACCGACUAAUGUUGAAAAAUUAGCGGAUGACUUGUGGCUGGGGGUGAAAGGCCAAUCAAACCGGGAGAUAGCUGGUUCUCCCCGAAAGCUAUUUAGGUAGCGCCUCGUGAAUUCAUCUCCGGGGGUAGAGCACUGUUUCGGCAAGGGGGUCAUCCCGACUUACCAACCCGAUGCAAACUGCGAAUACCGGAGAAUGUUAUCACGGGAGACACACGGCGGGUGCUAACGUCCGUCGUGAAGAGGGAAACAACCCAGACCGCCAGCUAAGGUCCCAAAGUCAUGGUUAAGUGGGAAACGAUGUGGGAAGGCCCAGACAGCCAGGAUGUUGGCUUAGAAGCAGCCAUCAUUUAAAGAAAGCGUAAUAGCUCACUGGUCGAGUCGGCCUGCGCGGAAGAUGUAACGGGGCUAAACCAUGCACCGAAGCUGCGGCAGCGACACUAUGUGUUGUUGGGUAGGGGAGCGUUCUGUAAGCCUGUGAAGGUGUACUGUGAGGUAUGCUGGAGGUAUCAGAAGUGCGAAUGCUGACAUAAGUAACGAUAAAGCGGGUGAAAAGCCCGCUCGCCGGAAGACCAAGGGUUCCUGUCCAACGUUAAUCGGGGCAGGGUGAGUCGACCCCUAAGGCGAGGCCGAAAGGCGUAGUCGAUGGGAAACAGGUUAAUAUUCCUGUACUUGGUGUUACUGCGAAGGGGGGACGGAGAAGGCUAUGUUGGCCGGGCGACGGUUGUCCCGGUUUAAGCGUGUAGGCUGGUUUUCCAGGCAAAUCCGGAAAAUCAAGGCUGAGGCGUGAUGACGAGGCACUACGGUGCUGAAGCGACAAAUGCCCUGCUUCCAGGAAAAGCCUCUAAGCAUCAGGUAACAUCAAAUCGUACCCCAAACCGACACAGGUGGUCAGGUAGAGAAUACCAAGGCGCUUGAGAGAACUCGGGUGAAGGAACUAGGCAAAAUGGUGCCGUAACUUCGGGA